Long non-coding RNA from Chrysoperla carnea, 682 nucleotides. RefSeq lists it as uncharacterized. The record is from RefSeq and is a predicted model, not a curated record. NCBI's taxonomy places the organism in Eukaryota, Metazoa, Arthropoda, Insecta, Neuroptera, Chrysopidae. The transcript is spliced from 2 exons.
UCAUCAGUUAGUGCAGGAAAUUUUGGUUCGUUUUUUAAUAAAUUCACUGGUACUAAAGAGCCGGAGCCUGAACAAAAAACUAAGUCGAAGAAGAAAGGCGAAGCCAAGGCUUACAGUACUAUUAUGGUACCUAUUAAAGAGUCAUUAGAAAAAAGCACAAAAUUAGUAGACAAGUAUGCUAUGGACGUAGAGAGGAUCGAUACCAUGUACAACCCAUCUUCCUGGUGUGGUAAAUUCAAACUUAAAAUGAAACAGAUGUUUUGUUGUGGAAAACCAUAGUUGGAUUUGAUGAGGCGCAUAUAUACAUAUAUUUGGUAUUCUAUUGUAACCCUCCUUUCUGAGAUCAAUAUGAUGAAGCGAUUAUUGAUAUUAUGGCGUGGAUUUGAUACACUUGAAUAAACGAGCAGAAAUUGCAAAGAAAUGUUCUUGAUUAAAAAAUUGUUUUAAAGUGCAUGCAUACUUUCGUGCCACAUUACGUCGGCUACUGCUAAAGCUAAUCGGCUAAAGCUAUUGUGAUCCAUCCUACACCCAAAUGUGUAUAAUAUGCAGAUUUUAUAUUAAGUUUAUUAUUUGGGGGUAAAUAUUGGAACAUGCCGCGGCGCGUAAAUAGGCGUGCACUUUUAAGAAAUUCAAUAGACGAAUGUACAAUUUAUAUUUAAUAAAAAUCAUUUAAUAAAAUGAA